RNAcentral lists this ribosomal RNA (437 nucleotides) under uncultured bacterium. RNAcentral's name for it is "bacterial SSU rRNA". It matches the Rfam family "Bacterial small subunit ribosomal RNA", at positions 338 to 792 of the family's 1533-position model. The record is from RNAcentral.
CCUACGGGGGGCUGCAGUGGGGAAUAUUGCACAAUGGGGGAAACCCUGAUGCAGCGACGCCGCGUGAGUGAAGAAGUAUUUCGGUAUGUAAAGCUCUAUCAGCAGGGAAGAUGAUGACGGUACCUGACUAAGAAGCCCCGGCUAACUACGUGCCAGCAGCCGCGGUAAUACGUAGGGGGCAAGCGUUAUCCGGAUUUACUGGGUGUAAAGGGAGCGUAGACGGCAUGGCAAGUCUGGAGUGAAAGCCCGGGGCCCAACCCCGGGACUGCUUUGGAAACUGUUAAGCUGGAGUGCAGGAGAGGUAAGUGGAAUUCCUAGUGUAGCGGUGAAAUGCGUAGAUAUUAGGAGGAACACCAGUGGCGAAGGCGGCUUACUGGACUGUAACUGACGUUGAGGCUCGAAAGCGUGGGGAGCAAACAGGAUUAGAUACCCCUGUA